GGACUAUCACACUGGGGACCGGCUUCUCUGCUCUCCCUUUAUAGGGGUCGGGGGAAUGAAGGGGCAAGGGUCUUCCGAAGAAAGCGAGAAAGGAACAGGCGCCUUCAAAAGCCCACUUGGCAUGGGUUACAGUAAGAGGGCCCCUCCCGGUUCAACGGUCUCCUAACCUGUAGUCACCCACAAGAGCGUGCCCUUUCUGCCCGCUCUUCCUAGCAUUGCUCCGUGCUUGGCUGAGCACUGCGGAGUUUCACGCCUCUAAACCCCGCCUCUUCUUGCAACCUGUGUUGGCCUCAUCUACCCAGCAACUGUCGACGUCACACGACCUGGGCCUCCCUGAAUGGGAGAUAUUUACUAGACAAUCCCGCCUACUGUUCUGAGGUUUCCCCUCCACGUGCCGCUUCAGAGCCAGGCGAGCCAGGAAGGACCAGCGGGCGAGGUGGAAGUCUGCAUUAUCACGAGGAGCUUGGAAAGGAGGUAACACACUCAAGGCAAAUUUCAAGUAACUCAUCCUAGAGGCAGCUGCCUACUCUGCAGCUGUGGUUCUCCACCACAGAGAGAAGAAAAGGGAGGGAGAUGGAGUGUGCAGGUCUGAGAAGGCUUUCAUUCUGGAGCAUCUGCAGGAGCCUGCACCAUGGCCCAGUAGCACCCCUUUUUCUCCAUGAGCUGCUGGUGGGUUCCCCCCUCCCGGAUAGCGCCUCCUUCCAGAAAGAGGAUGUGGUCAGCCUGCUCCACCAGGCUGAGGUGCUGGGUGAUGAGAAGCACUGAGCGGGAGUACCGCUCAGGGCUUUGGUACAGGAGCUGCUCCACCUGAGGAAAGAUAUCGGACCGUCAGAGCUGGGGACUACCCUCAGCCCAGGGAGACACCUGUGUUUCCAGGGCUGGGACUGACCUCACAGGAUCACUGCUGGCUCUGCUAACAACCCCAAGGACACCAACGUUUCCCAUUCUGAGUACUUCUCCGCAAACCCUUUGUUUCAUUAAGGACUGUUUUACAUGAAGGUGCAAAAGUAGGAUAAAAAUGAGAGUCCUAGGGUGAAACACGUGACAGAAGAAUAAAGACUAUUGAAUAGUCCUCUUCUCUACCCAUGGACUUGGAAUUUUUAUAUUUGAUUUUAAGGAAAUAUAACUUAGUAGUAAAGAGAUGAGCAUUCAAGUCAGGCAGACCUGAGUUUGGAUCAAGGCUGCGCCACUCAAAAGCUAUAUGACCUCUAUACGAGCAGCUUAUUCAACCUCUUUUAGCCUCCAUUUUGUCAUCUGUAGAAUGAUGAUAAAUGCCUAGCUCAGAAGGAUUCCUAAUGAAUAAAUGAGUGACAGUGCAUGUAAACAGACUAGCUUAAUUAAUAUUAAUAUGAUUAGGAUGGGCUGAGCCCGGUGGCUCAUGCCUAUAAUCUAGCACUUUGGGAGGUCAAGGAGGGAGGAUCACUUGGGCCCAGGAGUUCAAGCCCGGGCUGGGCAACAUAGCGGGACACUGUCUGUACAAAAAAAAUUUUUUUAAAUAAACAAUAUUAUGAGGAUGGUCUUUUCC
Molecule: long non-coding RNA, 1525 nt
Organism: Pongo pygmaeus (Bornean orangutan)
Lineage: Eukaryota; Metazoa; Chordata; Mammalia; Primates; Hominidae
Exons: 3
Source: RefSeq, a predicted model, not a curated record